GAUGAACGCUGGCGGCGUGCCUAAUACAUGCGAGUCGAGCGAACAGAUGAGGAGCUUGCUCCUCUGACGUUAGCGGCGGACGGGUGAGUAACACGUGGAUAACCUACCUAUAAGACUGGGAUAACUUCGGGAAACCGGAGCUAAUACCGGAUAAUAUAUUGAACCGCAUGGUUCAAUAGUGAAAGACGGUUUUGCUGUCACUUAUAGAUGGAUCCGCGCCGCAUUAGCUAGUUGGUAAGGUAACGGCUUACCAAGGCAACGAUGCGUAGCCGACCUGAGAGGGUGAUCGGCCACACUGGAGGUGAGACGCGGACCAGGGGACUACGGGAGGGAGCAGUAGGAAAUGGUCCGCAAUGGGCGAAAGCCUGACAGAGCAACGCGACGUGAGAGAUGAAAAUGUUCGGAUCGUAAAACUCUGUUAUGAGGGAAGAACAAAUGUGUAAGUAACUAUGCACGUCUUGACGGUACCUGAUCAGAAAGCAACGGCUAACUACGUG
This 497-nucleotide ribosomal RNA is filed under the name uncultured bacterium. RNAcentral describes it as "partial 16S ribosomal RNA". It matches the Rfam family "Bacterial small subunit ribosomal RNA", at positions 28 to 507 of the family's 1533-position model. The record is from RNAcentral.